Athalia rosae (coleseed sawfly) is the source of this 4006-nucleotide long non-coding RNA. RefSeq lists it as uncharacterized. The transcript has 3 exons. Lineage: Eukaryota; Metazoa; Arthropoda; Insecta; Hymenoptera; Athaliidae. The record is from RefSeq and is a predicted model, not a curated record.
CGUUCUUUUCUCUUCCAUUUUGAAAAUUCCAAAUAAAUCGAUGACGUGUACAUAUAACGUCGUUGGAUGUGUGUGUGUGUGUGAUAUAUCUUUCGGGGGAGAGACAAAAAUUUUCGCGCUUACGCGAUCAAAAGUUAGAAAACGAGGGGAGAGCGGGGGAUUCGUAGCGUGUGCAUAUAUGUAUGUGUGAUAAACGUUCGCAGGGUACGUGUAAUCUUACCGGAUUAGAGAUUACCCCAGCGAUUUUCAAGUAGCGUUUAUACCUGGCGGAAAUGCGCUACCGGUUCUGUCUCCCCGUUAUAUGUAUAAGCGGAACAUCUAACUACGUUAAGCAUGCUGUUUGGCUCGGCGUUAUCUUCAUCCCAGACUCCGUAAGUAUUACUUGAACAAAAUCGAUGAACCAGACUGCAUGAGGCAUCCGUACGAAAUGAUACGAUAUCGUUACACUUGUACACGCCAGCGAUAUGUUUUUUUUGUGGAGACCGCAAAAUUAUCGUUACUAUCGAAUUAAUUACUGAUGAAUUUCCGAAGCGGUGCAGGUUCGAUAUCAUCAUUAUUUUCCGUUUUAUGAAUACGAUAAUUUCUAGUCGAUUUGGCGCGCCGAUAUUCCAAUUGUAUGCGAGUAGCGCCGAAUCGAUUUUUCCGUACUCCUCGACGGAAAGAAAUUCCGCAAACGUCUCCCACGAUGCGGAAUACAGGUACGUUUCGGCGUGUCACUUUCCUUUCAAAGUCUCUCUCUUAUUCACUAAUUAGUCAUUUCUUUCUCUCUCCCGUUUGCCCUCUUCUUUCGCCUUUGUGCUUCUAAUCCCAUGGGCUGAUACGAAACCGCCAUUAACAGGGCAGAAAGUGCCAGCGGAAGUGUAGUUCUCCUACCCACGUGAUCAAUCUAGCCGCGUCUCACAUACGCAUUAACAUCAGUCAGCUCCAGGGACUCGAAGUCUGAACAACCUUUCAGUCAUUCAACCUUCUUCUUUUUAUCCAGUCGGUAUACGUACGCUAACUCAGAAAUAAUAUUAUCGUAAAGGCGCAAAUUCUUUCUUUUGUUUUCCGAUGUUGGUGUGUGAAUAUGUAUGGAUACCGCGUAUCGUCGUAUCGCCGUAAUUAUUCAGUAGACAUUAAUACGUGGAAAAUGAAUUUUCGUCUGACGUAAUACGUUCAAUAAUCUAGUUCGUAUGAUGCGAUUGUGUCAUUCGGAAGUAGAAACGGCAGAAGAUUAUAUAGGACGGAUCCCCAGGGCCGCCGACUACACAUCGGAAGGUACACAACGGCGCGGCUAUCGUACAUUCGACGUUGUCCGCUAGUCUGUGGGAUUUCACGAUUUGCAAAUUCUCUUUGCGACGCGGAUGUAACGUUGGAUUGUGAACUGCUGAACUGGCGGAAUAAUUAUGCAAACAAAAACCAAGCGUAUUACAUAUUUCAGGUGAGGAAAACUGCGUGAACGUGUUCGCACUCCGCAUUUUAUUAAAUUGCUGACCUCUGUGACCACUUGCAGUCUUUUUUCUCAUACAUUUUUAUGCUCUUCUCCCGCUCGCCCAUUUUUCUCUCCUUUUUUUUUUUUUUUUUUCGUUUUUUUUUUUUUUUUUUUUUUUCCAUUAUUAUUUAACUACAGUAGAAUUUGCAACGUCCUCGAAUUAUUUCCGCAUGCAAAUUUACAGGAAUACCAAAUUCCACUCAUAUAUUGCAAAUUCCACUCUCUGCAGCGGCCACUUUUGAGUUUAUUGCGUAUUCAUAAAAUACACGGGAUCGUCCGUGACCGAUUGUAUUCGAAUUUUUCACCUUUUCGUUCGGUUCAAACUCAGGUCAAAUACGUCGCAAGAGUAAAUAAUUGAAACGUGUAUAAUGUCACCACUUUUCACAGCGGGUAGGACGCAACGUAGAUCAAAUCUGAUGUAAGUGACAUAGCUAGUCUCAUUGUCAGGGUCCUGGCAAGAGUAAAAAAGGGGGUAGGGGUAUCAGAUUUGGUACAAGACGAACGUAAUUUGAAUAACGAAUUCGUGUCGCUAAUGGGUAAGGCACUUACGAGUAUUAUAUCACGUCAGAUGUCCGUCCGCCUUCGAACGACGAGGUCGGUACGUUUUCGGUCUUCGUUAUGUAUUAUACCACCGUGACUUUCUGCGUUUUGUUUCUCGCGUGGUAUAAUUGGCAACCCUCGGCGUGUGAAGCGAGGAUCAUCGCCCCGUGAAAUUCGGUAUAACUCUUUAUCGGUGUCGCAAACAGGUUCGCGAAAUUAUUCGCAUUAAUUAAUGGAAGGAUAAUGUAAAAGGGUUUUCGCGCUGCGUUCAAGAUACGCAGUAUUUCAAUGUGGAAAAUAUUCGAACCGAAUACUCUCGGCAUUCCAGAGAACGCAGUUGAACUCUCCUCCGUGGAUUUCCUUUUUUUACAGACGCUGUACAUCGGGAGCAAUAAAACGCGUGACAGCUGCAUACCAUAAUUCGGUGCAACGAGUCUACGCGGAGGGUAGGGAAUACGUAAAAGAUUCCGAGCACCCGCGACUUCCGUUACUCGCGAAAGUGAUCCGAAAUUUUUUCGAACGUUACACACCAACACCAUUAGGGAUCUGCCGGGGAGAUAUAAAUCGCGUUUUCCACGCUGACAGUGACAAUGGGAUAGAAUCGAGAUACGAUAUUUCGGAGGGAUUCAAAUCGGAUUCCCACAGGAUAAACCCCCCCGUCUCGUUUUCAAAAUGUGGUUGCAUGUGGUUGUCACUGUACGCGCAAGGUCACAGAAGUAAUAGGAACUUCCCCCGCCUCUCCACCUGCAGCUAAGGGAUGUCAAUAAAUUUAUCACCCUAUAGGAUACCACGGUGACGGUGGAGAUACAUGUAGUUCCGCCGUUGCGUCGUGUAUUUCGCUGCUGGCUAAAAACGAAUGGAAUUCGAAAAGCAAUCCGGACGGUAGCGCUGCCUCCGCGCGCUGCACCCGCACAGAGCACGGUACCGCUGCACUCCGUGAUAUGGCGUGUAAAGUAAACAUAAUAUGAAUGCCUUACACCGUGCGCCAUCGCAAUCGGGUCGCAGCGGCUGAUGCUGAGCUCGUAAAAAUGGCCCAUAAAAGUACUGCAAUCGUUCCAGAGUGCGUCUGUGAGUGACGCGGAGGGUGGUAGGCUCGCUCCGAAAUAUAUUGCCUCUACGCUACGUGUCCUACGAAAGGUAAUGUUUGUCCAGACAGCGGAACAAUUUAUUUCCGUUUGUCCGAUCCAGAUGCCACGCGUCGCUUAAUUGAUAACGAUAUACCUACCCGUUCUCCCGCACCAACGUACCUACGUACAUCCCGCGUUCCCUCGCACCACCGAUAACUCGAUCUUUCCUCAGUUUUUCAAUAUAUUCUCGAUUCGAUGCGUUUUUCGUUUUUUUUCUCUCGUUUUCGUCGCUUACGUUUCGUUUCCGUUCCAACCGUUUCGCGACCCCCCUCCCGCUCCACCUCCGCUGAUUUUUACGUCCAACACCCGCUGGUGCAACAGAUAAGGAACGGGAAUACCGGUUUUCGGUUACGAUUACGAUCGGUGGUGCGCUACGUACCUAUGUAUAGGUAUGUAGCUUUCUAUUUCUCUGACCGUUCCCCGCUUCUGUUCACGGCUAAGGAAUCUCAUUUCCAGACGCGAGGCUUUUUACAGCCUCAUAAAACAAAACCGUUGGAUAGAGUACGCGGAUACAGACACACACGUACACAUCCCCGCAAUUACCUUCACGUACGCAAUAUCGCAUAAAUAUGGCGUAGAAAAAAAAUCAUACAAUAAUAAUACGUAAAGCAUGUACGGUGGAAAAAAAUUCGUACACACACGCGUGCGUAUUUUCUAUAUCAACGAAAAUGACGUACGUAUAUAUACAACCUAGACGUAGAAUCGUAGGAAGCUCGCGAAAACACGGCAAAGGAAAAGGGCGCGGGCAAGGGGAUAUGAAAUCGUGUGGGAAUUGCGCUGCUGGGCGGCUGCCAACGACGUCAGCGUUGCAAACGUUAAUUACUCCUGGCUAUAAUUUUGUAUCUCGCUGAUCUUCGCUCUGUGUACC